Molecule: transfer RNA, 73 nt
Filed under: Candidatus Vallotiella hemipterorum
Lineage: Bacteria; Pseudomonadati; Pseudomonadota; Betaproteobacteria; Burkholderiales; Burkholderiaceae
Description: Candidatus Vallotia tarda tRNA
Rfam family: tRNA
About the family: Transfer RNA (tRNA) molecules are approximately 80 nucleotides in length. Their secondary structure includes four short double-helical elements and three loops (D, anti-codon, and T loops).
Source: Rfam by way of RNAcentral
GGGGCGUUAGCUCAGCUGGUAGAGCAGCGGACUCUUAAUCCGUAGGUCGAGUGUUCGAGUCACUCACGCCCCA